CAAUAGCGUAUAUUAAAGUUGUUGCAGUUAAAAAGCUCGUAGUUGGAUUUCUGGUCGGAAGCUCCUGUCCUCUGAUGAGCGUACAAGUGCGUCCUACCAUCCUUCUGUUAACCUUUAAGGCUUUCGCGGCUUUCUAGGGGCUCAGAUAUUUUACCUUGAGAAAAUUAGAGUGUUUCAGGCAGGCUAGCGCCGGAAUACAUUAGCAUGGAAUAAUGGAAUAGGACUUUUGCCUCUUCUGUUGGUCAUGAGGCUCGAGUAAUGAUUAAUAGGGAUAGUUGGGGGCAUUAGUACUUAACUGUCAGAGGUGAAAUUCUCGGAUUUGUUAAAGACUAACCUAUGCGAAAGCAUUUGCCAAGGAUGUUUUCAUUAA
This 370-nucleotide ribosomal RNA is filed under the name uncultured eukaryote. Its description in RNAcentral is "partial 18S ribosomal RNA". It matches the Rfam family "Eukaryotic small subunit ribosomal RNA", at positions 592 to 976 of the family's 1831-position model. The record is from RNAcentral.